Molecule: unclassified non-coding RNA, 253 nt
Filed under: uncultured Legionellales bacterium
Lineage: Bacteria; Pseudomonadati; Pseudomonadota; Gammaproteobacteria; Legionellales
Description: contains 16S-23S intergenic spacer region
Rfam family: Bacterial small subunit ribosomal RNA
Source: RNAcentral
UACGGAGGGUGCAAGCGUUAAUCGGAAUUACUGGGCGUAAAGGGUGCGUAGGUUGUUGUAUAAGUUAGUUGUGAAAUACCUGUGCUUAACGCGGGGGGGUCAACUAGUACUGUACGACUUGAGUAAAGCAGAGGGUGGUAGAAUUUCCGGUGUAGCGGUGAAAUGCGUAGAGAUCGGAAGGAAUACCGGUGGCGAAGGCGUCCACCUGGGCUAUUACUGACACUGAGGCACGAAAGCGUGGGUAGCAAACAGG